CAGGACUGAGUUUAAUUCUAAACCCACUGCUGAGGGAAAUCCGGCUUCUGAUUAUUCAAUGACCAAUAAUCACCUGCAACUGUCUGAUCUGCAUCCUAAAUAAAUAAACUGAUGAAUCCCUCAGACCAUGGUCCUGCUCAUGGUGAAGUGUGAGAAGCUCCUGAGCGCUGGAGCAGCACAUAGUCAUGAAAAAUGUCAAGAAAACAAAGUUUUGAAACUGAAGGUUCUGCUUCUAGUGAAAGAGUGGAACGAGGUGAAGAUUUAGAGAUAGAUUUCAUCUCAGAUUGCUUGGCACGAACGCCCAGAGCGGUGGUGUAGCUGCAGGUGUAACCCGGAGUCUGAAGAUGAUGGUGGAGGAAACAGACACGUGGAGAAAAUCAGAACACUGGUGUGGCUCCUGUUUAUUGAUUGGCAUCACGCUGCUUUCUGGGAAACUCAUCAGAAAGGUGGAGGAAGAGAAGUGUUUAAUGAUGAAGGUGGCGAUCAUGCAGGAUUCCCUCUGAGCUGGAACCAUCAAGAAGAUCAAUACAAUCACAACAUCUGUCUGUGCUCACUCUGGAACAUUCUGGAAUACUGCAUGUUCCACUCAAGUCCUACAGCAUGCAAAUGUUCUGCAGCAGAACCCAGAGAACCGUCUAAUCAGAAGCUCUCUCUCAGGAGUUACUACGUCAAAGCAACAUUAUGGAAGUUUUCAGGAGAAAUGAGUGACGUCGUAUCAUAGAGUAGAACAUUACUGACAAAUCAAGCAUAGUCAUCAUCAUCAUCAUCAUCAUCAUCACCAUCAUCUGAACAUUGUGAGAUUUCAGCUACAUCUCUUCUCCUCAGAAGCUGAUCUCACGUCAUUGUGUUUAAACAUUAUUCCCAUCAAACUGCAAAUAUCUCCACGACUGAUGUUUAAUGAGCACUUUACAACAAAAACAAACUAAAACUAACAGAAGACAAGACUUUUAUAUUACAUCCUGUGAUUUUUCAUUUCGGAAACAAAAAUAAAUAUAAAUUUGUUUUGGAAAAGUGCUGAAUUAUCUACAUAUAUUCAUCAGGCAGGUUUAGAAAAAGCAGAACGAGCGUCUCGAAGGCAUGCGGAGAGGGAGGGGCAAAGCAAUCCACCAAUCACAGAGAGGGGUCGCUAAUAAGCAGGCCAAUAAGAUAAAGGUCUCUGGAUAAUGGGCGGGGCUUAACAGAUAUGUAAUGAGGAAUCCUAGUAAUGAGGAAGAGAUAUGUGGUGGAGAGAGUGUGUGUGUGUGUGUGAGAGUG
Silurus meridionalis is the source of this 1254-nucleotide long non-coding RNA. RefSeq lists it as uncharacterized. NCBI's taxonomy places the organism in Eukaryota, Metazoa, Chordata, Actinopteri, Siluriformes, Siluridae. The record is from RefSeq and is a predicted model, not a curated record. The transcript is spliced from 3 exons.